RNAcentral lists this unclassified non-coding RNA (4321 nucleotides) under Hevea brasiliensis (rubber tree). Lineage: Eukaryota; Viridiplantae; Streptophyta; Magnoliopsida; Malpighiales; Euphorbiaceae. The record is from RNAcentral.
GUUUUCAUCCAUGGUCCAGAGUCAUCCACACCACAGAACCACACUCUUAUCUAGCUAACUUGUACCAGAAUCAGUCCUGGAAUCGGCUCAGUGUCAAUCGCCAUAGCCAAUACCUUCUUCGACCUGCGCAAUUGCUCGAUGAGGAAAAUGUUUAGGUGUGUGUAAGCCCCAUUUGUUCACCUUUAAGCUUGUUUAUUUUCUCAUUGGAAAUUAAAAAAACAAUUAUUAUGCAAAAGAACAACCCCUCUCUGAUUUCUUGAGGAUCUUUUGUUAUGCUUGUCCUUCAGCUCCUGAUAAACCUUUAAUGGCUGUUUUAGUUAUUUGCUCUCCAAGCAUGUGUUGUAGCCCUGUCAAUUACAACUAUGCUUUCACUCAAGAUUAUUGGUUACCUGCUUUAGUUGAUAAUAACGGGUCAUUCGAAGGUAGGAAAGAUGGAAAUUUGAAAUUCUUGACUUUUGGUUCUAUUGGCAAUUGGAAGAAACCCAGGAAAAAGAAAGUGGGUUUUUGUGGGGUUGCAAUGAAUGGUGAUCGUGAGUUGUUGGUAGUGAAGAGGAAGCCAAAAAAUGCCUUAUCAUCUGAGGAUGUUAUAGCCGUUCUUAACUCGAUUUUGGACCCAAGUGAUGCUUUAGCAUACUUUAAAACAGUUGCUGAGUUGCCCUUUGUUGUUCACACCACUGAAACAUGUAAUCACAUGCUUGAAAUUUUGAGGAUUCAUAAGAGGGUGGAGGAUAUGGCUAUUGUGUUUCAGUUGAUGCAAAAGCAAAUUAUAAGGAGGGAUCUGAACACUUAUUUGACUCUGUUCAAGGGGCUUUAUAUUAGAGGGGGGCUUAGGCAAGCUCCAUUGGCACUUGAAAGGAUGAGGGAAGCUGGGUUUUUGUUGAAUGCUUAUUCAUAUAAUGGGUUGAUCCAUUUGCUACUUCAGUCUGGGUUUUGUAGGGAGGCUUUGGAGGUAUAUAGAAGAAUGGUCUCAGAAGGUCUUAAGCCUAGUCUCAAGACUUACUCUGCCCUAAUGGUAGCAACAGGGAAGAGAAGGGAUAUCAAAACCGUCAUGGGAUUGUUGGAAGAGAUGGAAAGUUUGGGGUUGACGCCAAAUAUCUACACAUACACCAUAUGCAUUAGAGUACUUGGGAGAGCUGGGGAAAUUGACGAGGCAUAUAGGAUACUGAAGAGAAUGGAAGAUGAUGGAUGUGGUCCUGAUGUCAUUACUUAUACAGUUCUCAUUGAUGCUCUUUGUAGUGCAGGAAAACUCAACAAUGCAAUGGAAUUGUUUGUAAAGAUGAAAGCUAGCAAUCACAAACCUGAUAGGGUAACCUAUAUUACCCUGUUGGACAAGUUCAGUGAUUCAGGUGACUUGGAUACUGUGAAAGAAUUUUGGAGUGAAAUGGAAGCCGAUGGUUAUGUCCCUGAUGUGGUUGCUUUUACUAUACUUGUUAAUGCAUUAUGCAAAGUUGGGAAUAUUGAUGAAGCAUAUGAUCUGUUGGAUGUCAUGAGAAACCAAGGGGUGUCGCCAAACCUUCAUACUUACAAUACAUUGAUUUGUGGACUUUUGAGGGCAAGUAAGUUGGAUGAUGCUAUAGACCUUUUCAACAACAUGGAAUCUCUGGGUGUUGAGCCUACUGCUUAUACUUACAUCCUUUUCAUUGACUACUAUGGAAAGUCUGGCCUCACUGACAAAGCUCUUGAGACCUUUGAAAUGAUGAGAACUAGGGGAAUUGCUCCUAAUAUUGUUGCUUGCAAUGCAUCUUUAUAUAGUCUUGCUGAAAUGGGUAGACUUGGAGAAGCGAAGGCUAUUUUUAAUGGUCUUAAAAGUAAUGGGCUUGCUCCAGAUUCGGUGACCUAUAACAUGAUGAUGAAGUGCUAUAGCAAGGCUGGGAAAGUGGAUGAAGCCAUUAAGUUACUAUCCGAUAUGUCAAAAUGUCAGUGUGAACCUGAUGUAAUUGUAAUUAAUUCUUUGAUCAACACUCUUUACAAGGCUGGCCGAAUGGAUGAGGCAUGGCAAAUGUUUUGCAGAUUGAAGGACAUGAAGCUUGCUCCUACAGUUGUGACUUACAACACAUUAAUAGCUGGAUUAGGGAAAGAGGGCCAAGUCCAAAGAGCCAUUGAAAUAUUUGAAAGUAUGACUCUGAAUGGGUGUCCUCCAAACACAGUAACUUUUAAUACGCUCCUGGAUUGCCUUUGCAAGAAUGAUGAGGUUGAGUUGGCUUUGAAGAUGCUUUAUAAAAUGACAACAAUGAAUUGUACACCUGAUGUUCUGACUUUCAACACUGUCAUUCAUGGGUUCAUUAAAGAAAAGCAAGUUAUGGUUGCAAUCUGGCUCUUCCAUCAGAUGAAGAAACUCCUUACCCCUGAUUGCGUAACUUUAUGCACCCUUCUUCCCGGUGUUGUAAAGAAUGGGUUGAUAGAUGAAGCCUUCAAGAUUGUUGAUGAAUUUGUUCAUCGGGUUGGAUUUAACAUAAACAGGCCGUUUUGGGAAGAUCUAAUGGGUGGAAUUUUGACUCAAGCUGGAACAGAAAAAGCCAUUUUAUUUGGUGAAAGAUUGGUAUGCAAUAGGAUUUGCCAGGAUGACUCUGUGUUGAUGCCUAUAAUUAAGGUUUUGUGUAAGCAUAGCAAAGCCACUGUUGCACAUAACGUAUUUGUGAAGUUUACUAAGGAACUGGGAGUUAACCCAACACUUGAAGCAUACAACUGUUUGAUUGAUGGGCUUCUUGAACUCCAGAGUGCUGAAAUGGCUUGGAAUCUAUUCAUGGGGAUGAAGAGUGCUGGUUGUGCUCCCGAUGUUUUCACCUACAACUUGUUACUUGAUACUCAUGGGAAGUCUGGGAAGAUCAAUGAACUUUUUGAAUUGUAUGAAGAGAUGCUUUGUAAUGGAUGCAAGCCCAACACCAUAACUCACAAUAUAGUAAUUGCCAAUCUUGUGAAAUCUAAUUGCUUGGACAAGGCGUUGGAUUUAUACUAUCAUCUUGUAAGUGAUGAUUUCUCUCCCACUCCUUGUACCUAUGGUCCUCUUUUAGAUGGACUUCUUAAGUCAGGUAGACUGGAGAAAGCAAAAGAGUUGUUUGAGGAAAUGGAAGACUAUGGAUGCAGGCCUAAUAGUGCUAUCUACAAUAUCCUUAUAAAUGGAUAUGGGAAAACUGGUGAAGUGGAUACUGCUUGUGAAUUGUUUAAAAGGAUGGUUAGAGAAGGAAUAAGACCAGACUUAAAGUCUUACACUAGUCUUGUCGGUUGCCUAUGUAUGGUGGGGAGGGUAGAUGAUGCUCUACAUUACUUUGAGCAACUAAAGCAGACUGGGCUAGAUCUUGAUUCAAUUGCUUAUAACCUCAUUAUUGAUGGGCUUGGAAGAUCACAUAGAAUGGAAGAGGCUCUCUUUCUUUUUGGUGAAAUGCAGAAGAGAGGUAUCAAGCCUGAUCUUUACACUUAUAAUUCCUUAAUACUGAAUCUUGGGAUCGUUGGGAUGGUAGAGCAAGCAGGAAAGCUGUACGGAGAGCUACAAUAUAUAGGUCUUGAACCGAAUGUGUUCACCUACAAUGCUCUUAUUCGUGGAUACAGCAUGUCAGGAAACUUUGAUCUUGCCUAUUCAGUCUACAAGAGGAUGAGGAUUGGGGGUUGCAGUCCUAACACGGGUACAUUUGCUCAGCUUCCUAAUCAAUCCUGACAUUUAGGGGAAACUGAGCUAGCCACUAAUUAAAAUAAUAUGCGGAUCCCCCUGCUUGGUAUUUACUAGAGCAAUGAAGUCCAGUGAAGUCCAACGGCUGUAGAUUCAAGGCCAGAAAGCAUAGUGGAUUGAGCCUAAAGGAACCAGACUUGUGAGUUGAGCUAAAAUGAGCCAAACUCAGUGGGACCCACGAGCUAAUCAAGGAGAGCUAGAUGCUAAGGAGGACAAAGUCUAGAGGAGCCAAACCCAAGUAAAUGGGCUACCCCAUACAAUGGCAACUGACAUUUGGGCAUGUGAGCCUGGGCCUAAACCCAAUUGCAUUUAAAAGGGAGUGUUGAAAUAUGACUUGAGGUAUGCAAGUCCCAAAUUGGCAAUGCAUAAAAAUAUGAAGGGCUUAUUGUUGGGAAAUUUAAGAUUUUUUUAGAAGAUUACUAUAAUUAAUAAUUGAGAUAAGAUAAGUUAGAUUCAUAAACCUAGGGAAAUGAAAGGUUUAGUACAUAAAUUAAGAUGAUUAGAUAAUGAUUCAUGUAUCUAGGGUUGUGUGCAAGAUAUUUAUUAUAGGACGUAGAUGCGAUAUAGGCUAUAUAUAUAUAUAUAUGUACCUAAACUAUUGCAUUAUGUAUGGAAAGGGAGUGGAAAGGUAAUGAAGAUGAAGUUUUGGUUAUGGAA